AUAACAUUCAGGACCGUCGGUCUACUGAGCAAUAUCACCCGCUCGGUGGAAGAUCUUCCCUUUAUGUCGU
This 70-nucleotide microRNA precursor is filed under the name Bombyx mori (domestic silkworm). RNAcentral describes it as "mir-2774 microRNA precursor family". It matches the Rfam family "mir-2774 microRNA precursor family". The record is from Rfam by way of RNAcentral. Lineage: Eukaryota; Metazoa; Arthropoda; Insecta; Lepidoptera; Bombycidae.